Long non-coding RNA from Xenopus tropicalis (tropical clawed frog), 2522 nucleotides. RefSeq lists it as uncharacterized. The record is from RefSeq and is a predicted model, not a curated record. The transcript has 2 exons. NCBI's taxonomy places the organism in Eukaryota, Metazoa, Chordata, Amphibia, Anura, Pipidae.
AUUCAUACUUUUUGAAGGAACAGAUUACAAUUAUAAAGGGGUUUUUGUGUUGUCUGGGGCUUUUUAACAAAUUUAAGUCCUUCCUUUAAGGAAGGACUUUUAUGUAGCAAUAAUUUAUACUCUUCCCAUCAUUUGAGGUUACAAUCAUAAAUCCAGAUCUCUUGCCCUAUGCCAAAUUUAUGUAUUAAACCCCCACUAAACAAAGCUUAAAAUCCUGGUAGUUGGUAAAACAGCCCUCUUCCAUACACUAGGAAAUUGUGAUGUCAGUGAUGAACUUUUUAGAAUAAUGUUCCGCCUUCAGUGCUGCUGUUGAAAGCAUUAAUAGGGUUCUGCAUUAAGUUGUCUGUUUUAGUAGUCUGGACAUCAUAUGAAAGCUGACAAUACCACCUAUUUCUUCUCCCAGUCCCAUUUAUGACUCAGAUUUUAAAUACAGGUAUGAUCCCUUAACCCAGAAACCUGUUUCCUAGAAAGCUUUAAAUUAUGGAAAUGCCAUCUGCCAUAGACUCGAUUUGAAUCAAAUAAUUCUAAUUUUAAAACAUAUUUCCUUUUUCUCUGUAAUAAUAAAACAGUAAUUGAUACCGAAUAAGACACAAUGAAUCCUUGUUGGAGGCCUAACAAUUCUAUUUGGUUUACUUAAUGUAUACAUUUUUUUUUUUAGUAGACUUAAUGUAUAAAGAUGCAAAUUACAGAAAGUCCUCUUAUCUGGGAAACUCAAGGUCCUGAGCAUUCCAGAUAACAGGUCCCAUACCUGUAAUGUUUAACUGCAAACGAGUAUUUCUAGCAUCAUACAACCAGAAAGCAGUUUGUACUCUGAGAUCUUCUGUUUAAGCUGGUUUUAAGCAGGCUCUUUAAGCAGCAUCUGUUCAUAGCAGGGUAUUCAGGGCUCAAACUAGGGGUAGGCAAAAGAGGAGUGAGCCUAGGAUGCAACCAUUGGGGGGGGCACUAGAUUUAAACCAUUUCUGUCUGCCUAGCACUAGGUUGGUCGGACCAUGGGUGAUGGCAACACAGGUAGACAGAUUUUUGGCACAGGCACAGGGGUCUCCUCACUUCUCCCCAGCCAUUGCUCUCUGUUGUCAUCUCGAGGAGAGACAUGGGAGGUGGGGGGGCAAUAGAAGGUUUUCCUUGGACACACUUGAUACUUGGCCCAGCACUGAGUGGAUUUCCCAUUCAAGUGAACUAAAAGUGGCCAGCAUUGUAUAGGUAUAGUUCUCCCUGAGAAGACCACAGCAAUCAAAGUUUCCUAGGUCCCAUUUGUUAAAGAGCUAUUUGCUUUAAAACAGUUCAUAUCUACAACAGAGGUAAGAGGUGCAGCAUAAUUUGCUACAGUUAUACUAGUUAAUAAUUUUCCAACUCACUAAAUAUUGUACAGAACAUCACAUACCUCUAGAUUCUAAAGGAAAAAACCCCUCUCCACCCCCUACUACUGCAUGUGCAACAUACCUUAAUAUCUAUUCCUUUCUUCUAAUGUCAUGUACAGAAUCAACAAAGAGACUCUAUCAAAUGAAAGGCACUUGUUUAGUAUAAUCUACCACUGUUAAAGGCCUUCAUAGCAAGGUGCCUCCCAGACAAUUUACCAUUUCACUGUGUACUGCCAGUUGUAUGAAAGCAAAUCAACCAUCACUAACACAUUAAAGCAAAUGAAAAAAAAUGUGAAUUGUAAAAAGUCUUUUAGGGCAAAAAGAGAUUUUGGACCCUUUGGCGCCAAUGAUUUUUAGUUGCUGGAGGUGGUAAGAUCGCUGUUAUUGAUACCCAAUGACUGCUAUGGAAAUCACCUUAAAGUCCUUGGUAACUUGGUCUGCCAUGUUUCAAGCUUAUGCAGGCUUAUGUAACUAUGACAAUGAAACCUCUCAAAAGCACCCCAUGCGCCAUUGCUCUUAAAGAAAUAUAUCAUUUUCUCAGUGUGCUGUCAAAUAUGUAAGGUACAGAUGUGAAUGAUGAAAAUCGUAUUGUGAGCCAGUUUCUUUGUAUAUGCAAUGUCUGGCCUUCCGACUGAAGGACUGUGAAUUUCAUAUACCAGCUGUUGCUGUUUCAGCAGUGUUUAUUUCCCUUUAUUUUUUUUGUGUGUGCAUUUGUUCAACUAAUACUUUACCUGUUCUUUGCAGCAUCUGUUCAGCUGUUAAUGUUUGUUCGUUGAUGUGUAUUAGCUGGAAAUAGCCUUGCCUUCCAAUGCAUUUUGUAUGACUUGGGCAGCACAGAAAUGGCUAUCUUGCAUCUCUGCACUUUUGAAGUCUGCUGGAUAUACCACUCAGGGGAGGGUUGGGUCUUUGAGGUUUCUUAGUUUGGUUGGGGGGGGGGGGGGGGGUCAGUUCUUGUUCCCACUUUAGCAGUAUACUAUGCCAAGAAUACAUCAAACACCUCUCAUCAACAGGUACCCUACAAUAUGGAAACAAAAGAAGAAAAAAGUGGAUAGAGCUAAGGAAGGGAAAAUAUAUUAAAUAUUAAUCUGUUACGUGUCUGUUGUUUAAUAUAAGAGAAAUGUUAUUGUUUUAAUAUAAUAAAUGAAAGGUUACUUUUGGAAUUUC